This 1903-nucleotide long non-coding RNA is filed under the name Musa acuminata (dwarf banana). RNAcentral describes it as "long non-coding RNA (MACU_LNC009268)". Lineage: Eukaryota; Viridiplantae; Streptophyta; Magnoliopsida; Zingiberales; Musaceae. The record is from RNAcentral.
AGGGAGGGUUGCUGAGUCGUCGUCAUACACUAGUCAAGGUCCGAUCUUUGUCCCCUUCUUUCCCCUCUCUCUCUCUCUCUCUCUCUCUGCAAGCGCGCUGUUUGAUCCACCGGCGGUGCCAUUGGAGCACAAGAUUCGAAUACAAGAUUAAAGCAAUAUUGAGGGGUUUGAUGAUCUUCGACGAAUUCAAAUCCACCCGGAUGUAGCAUAACCUCGGCGAGACCGGUGGAAAAGGAUACGCGGAUCCGUCUUCUGACCGGAUGACGGGAAACACAGGAUAUGGAUACGCUUCGUGAAGGAAGAUGCUGCGAUCCCGAAUCUCCGAUCGGCAAAGUUGAACGUAAUAAUUGAAAUUGGCUCCCAGCCGCUCAAAGUGGAAACGUUUUUGGGGCUUUUAAUCGGCUCGAUUGCUCUUCAUGAAAUGUCUUUAAAAAAGAGGAUUUUUUACGUGGGGAAUUAAAAUGGUUGGCUUUGAGGGUUUAGAUUCUGAUGAGGCCCGUGAGGGUGGAAAGGCAGAGGUUUUGGUCGUAUUUACAGGGAAAUAUCACGGGCACUAUAGUCAUUUCAUUCAUAAGGAAAUGUUUCUUCGAUACUGAGGUUUUGGUUCCCGAUAGCCCUACGAGAAACCCAUUAAUGGCGGCUCCGCAGAACCUUCCCCUAUGGAGCGCCCCGAAGAGUAGCUUUUGAGCUUGCGAAAGAAGAAUAGCAGAGGAGGUGGAAGCAGCUGUCUGAAUAAUGGCGUGUGUCCUCGCAACAUGCCCUCUCCCCUUCCUCAGGUCUUGUUUUUUCCUUCUCACUGAUCCUCUUUCGAGGGUUUCAAGUAUUUAGCUCCAUAAUUUCGCCCUUCUUCAAUUACUUAAGCCACCUCUGCCCCAGGAAUAAUUUUGGUUUUGCUUCAACAUAAUUGCAUUUAGAAUGUAAUUUUUUUUUUCUUUUAUCAUUUGAAUUUUAUAAAAUUUGACCGGUAGGAUAUAUCUGACAAGAGAAUUUAUUCUAUAAUGAAAAAUUUUAAGACUCAAUAAUUUUCUUGUAUUUUUUUUUAUGGAGAUUCCUUUUUUUCUCCGAGUGAAGCACGAUUUGGAUUACUAGCUUCAUUCUUGUAAGUUCUCUCGAAUACUCGAGUGAUAAGUUAGUACCUAUUGCUGGCAGCAAGGAAAUCUGAGGGAAAGGAAAAUAGAAGUUUUACUUCUCUUCGUUUUGGUUUGUACCAUCAUAAGUUGUUGUUGAUUGGAACUUGUAUUGCAUCUUUUUGUCAGAAUUUGUAUUGUUUUAUCCAUUUGCAUCCGAAGGGGUUUUCAUUUCUCUAAUUAAUGUAAAAUGCACAGAGGAGUCACACCGGGCUUUAUCGUUUGCUUGAGGGCGUGCUUUGUUAAUAUGCCAAAAUGUUGUUAUAAAUCCGCCAACAAGUCCAAGGCUGGGCUUUUCUAUUGCCAUGACUGAUUUGAUUGUAGCGAAUACGUAAUACAUACGCAUCUGCAAGAGAGCUUUUCAUAUUUAUCAUCAUAUGGUAGAAAUCAAGGCUCCUUUUUUACGUUUUUGUAGCUUCCUGACCAGUUUCUUCGGGGAUUUUUGGUUACAUGUAUUCUUCGUGAUGACAAAUCUUUUAUAUGCUCCUUUAACAACAUACUUUUCUUCAAAUUAUUUGAAAUGAUAGUACGUGAGAUCAGUGAUGCAUUGGAUUUUACAGUGGGCAGACGGAUUGCAAGAUUAUGAUUUUUCAACCUAGUAUCUCUCACCUAAAUUGUUCAAGACUGCAGAAGUGGUGUAUUUCAGCAGUCUCCAGGAAAAAAUCUCGACCAAUUGAUGUGGAAGAUAACAAUAGUACAGAAAGUACUGAUGAAGGAUCUAAGAAGACUCCACGGACUCCAAGACAUUCUAGAAAGAAAGUUGCUACAGAUAUUGC